This 492-nucleotide ribosomal RNA is filed under the name uncultured bacterium. RNAcentral's name for it is "partial 16S ribosomal RNA". It matches the Rfam family "Bacterial small subunit ribosomal RNA", at positions 29 to 507 of the family's 1533-position model. The record is from RNAcentral.
AGUGAACGCUGGCGGUAGGCCUAACACAUGCAAGUCGAACGGCAGCACAGUAAGAGCUUGCUCUUACGGGUGGCGAGUGGCGGACGGGUGAGGAAUACAUCGGAAUCUACUUUUUCGUGGGGGAUAACGUAGGGAAACUUACGCUAAUACCGCAUACGACCUACGGGUGAAAGCCGGGGAUCUUCGGACCUUGCGCGAUUGAAUGAGCCGAUGUCGGAUUAGCUAGUUGGCGGGGUAAAGGCCCACCCAGGCGGCGAUCCGUAGCUGGUCUGAGAGGAUGAUCAGCCACACUGGAACUGAGACACGGUCCAGACUCCUACGGGAGGCAGCAGUGGGGAAUAUUGGACAAUGGGCGCAAGCCUGAUCCAGCCAUACCGCGUGGGUGAAGAAGGCCUUCGGGUUGUAAAGCCCUUUUGUUGGGAAAGAAAAGCAGCAGGUUAAUACCCCGCUGUUCUGACGGUACCCAAAGAAUAAGCACCGGCUAACUUCGUG